UACGGAGGGUGCGAGCGUUGUCCGGAAUCAUUGGGCGUAAAGGGCGCGUAGGUGGCCCGGUCAGUCCGUGGUGAAAGCGCGGGGCUCAACCCCGCGUCGGCCAUGGAUACUGCUGGGCUUGAGCACUGUAGAGGCAGGCGGAAUUCCGGGUGUAGCGGUGAAAUGCGCAGAUAUCAGGAGGAACACCAAUGGCGAAGGCAGCUCGCUGGGACGUGACUGACGCUGAGACGCGAAAGCGUGGGGAGCAAACAGG
RNAcentral lists this ribosomal RNA (253 nucleotides) under uncultured bacterium. Its description in RNAcentral is "partial 16S ribosomal RNA". It matches the Rfam family "Bacterial small subunit ribosomal RNA", at positions 524 to 776 of the family's 1533-position model. The record is from RNAcentral.